GAGGGUAUAGCUCAAGUGGUAGAGCACAUGCUUAGCAUGCACGAGGUCCUGGGUUCAAUCCCCAGUACCUCCA
This 73-nucleotide transfer RNA is filed under the name Camelus bactrianus (Bactrian camel). It matches the Rfam family "tRNA". Rfam says of the family: Transfer RNA (tRNA) molecules are approximately 80 nucleotides in length. Their secondary structure includes four short double-helical elements and three loops (D, anti-codon, and T loops). The record is from Rfam by way of RNAcentral. Lineage: Eukaryota; Metazoa; Chordata; Mammalia; Artiodactyla; Camelidae. RNAcentral also lists the same sequence under 3 other names.